RNAcentral lists this ribosomal RNA (253 nucleotides) under uncultured bacterium. RNAcentral describes it as "partial 16S ribosomal RNA". It matches the Rfam family "Bacterial small subunit ribosomal RNA", at positions 524 to 776 of the family's 1533-position model. The record is from RNAcentral.
GACGUAGGAUGCGAGCGUUGUUCGGAUUUAUUGGGCGUAAAGCGUACGUAGGCGGCUAUCUAAGUCUGGUGUUAAAGCUAGGGGCUCAACCCCUGUGAUGCACUGGAAACUGGGUAGCUUGAGUGCGGUAGGGGAAGGUGGAAUUCCGAGUGUAGCGGUGAAAUGCGUAGAUAUUGGGAAGAACACCGGUGGCGAAGGCGGCUCACUGGCCCGUAACUGACGCUCAUGCACGACAGCGUGGGGAUCAAACAGG